This 600-nucleotide ribosomal RNA is filed under the name uncultured fungus. RNAcentral describes it as "eukaryotic LSU rRNA". The stretch from base 181 to 334 matches the Rfam family "5.8S ribosomal RNA". Lineage: Eukaryota; Fungi. The record is from RNAcentral.
GUAACCACUGCNCCGUUGGUGAACCGCGGAAGGAUCCUUACCGAGGACUUUUUCUCAUUACCCUUUGUUAACUAUUAUACCUGUUGCUUCCGCGGCGCCCGCCAGGGUGCCCGCCGGUCUCAUCUUAAUCUCUGUUUUCCAACCCCACCAUACUUCUGAAUGUUCUUACCGAACUGUCAAAACUUUUAACCACGGAUCUCUUGGCUCCCGCAUCCAUGAAGAACGCAACGAAACGCGAUAUGUAAUGUGAAUUGCAAAAUUCAGUGAAUCAUCCAAUCUUUUAACGCACAUGGCGCCUUCCAGUAUCCUGGGAGGCAUGCCUGUCCAAGCGUCGUUUCAACCCUCGAGCCCCUGUGGCCCGGCGUUGGGGAUCUGCCACGGCCGGCCCCUAAAACCAGUGGCGGACCCUAAAGGCCCUCUCCUUUGCGCAAUAACCUUCCCCUCGCAUCGGGAGUCCCCAGCGUCCUGCCUCUAAACCCCCCACAAGCCCCCCUCGGCGGCACCCAGGUUGACCUCGGAUCAAGUAGGAAUACCCGCUGAACUUAAACAUAUCAAUAAGCGGAUGAAAAGAAACCAACAGGGAUUGCCCCAGUAACGGCG